AAUAGAUACCCAGGUAGUCCACGCCGUAAACGAUGAGUGCUAAGUGUUAGAGGGUUUCCGCCCUUUAGUGCUGCAGCUAACGCAUUAAGCACUCCGCCUGGGGAGUACGGUCGCAAGACUGAAACUCAAAGGAAUUGACGGGGGCCCGCACAAGCGGUGGAGCAUGUGGUUUAAUUCGAAGCAACGCGAAGAACCUUACCAAGUCUUGACAUCCUCUGACAACUCUAGAGAUAGAGCGUUCCCCUUCGGGGGACAGAGUGACAGGUGGUGCAUGGUUGUCGUCAGCUCGUGUCGUGAGAUGUUGGGUUAAGUCCCGCAACGAGCGCAACCCUUGAUCUUAGUUGCCAGCAUUUAGUUGGGCACUCUAAGGUGACUGCCGGUGACAAACCGGAGGAAGGUGGGGAUGACGUCAAAUCAUCAUGCCCCUUAUGACCUGGGCUACACACGUGCUACAAUGGAUGGUACAAAGGGCUGCAAGACCGCGAGGUCAAGCCAAUCCCAUAAAACCAUUCUCAGUUCGGAUUGUAGG
RNAcentral lists this ribosomal RNA (529 nucleotides) under uncultured bacterium. RNAcentral's name for it is "bacterial SSU rRNA". It matches the Rfam family "Bacterial small subunit ribosomal RNA", at positions 777 to 1304 of the family's 1533-position model. The record is from RNAcentral.